RNAcentral lists this ribosomal RNA (30 nucleotides) under Fusarium tricinctum. Its description in RNAcentral is "partial 18S ribosomal RNA". Lineage: Eukaryota; Fungi; Ascomycota; Sordariomycetes; Hypocreales; Nectriaceae. The record is from RNAcentral.
UGUGACAUACCUUAAUGUUGCCUCGGCGGA